Haliotis rufescens (red abalone) is the source of this 320-nucleotide long non-coding RNA. RefSeq lists it as uncharacterized. The record is from RefSeq and is a predicted model, not a curated record. Lineage: Eukaryota; Metazoa; Mollusca; Gastropoda; Lepetellida; Haliotidae. The transcript is spliced from 3 exons.
UAGUGUCUCGUAGGUCAUAUUUGGCCGGAUGUUAUAUUUUACUGUUUUGUAUAUAUCUUAUCACGAAGUGUCGACGACUGAACAUCCAAGAAAUCCAAGAUGCUAUUAAUCAUGUGAACAGGUACCAGUCGAUUGUCAGGGUGAUGAGGUCUGCAACAUCCAAAGAACUAAUGGCAUCAAUUAAGAUCAAAUAUUUCGACUUAAACGAAGUCGUGAAAGGAAAGAAGGAAGGAACGUUUGUCGCUUAUCACAAAUUAUUGACACAGAGCAAGGACGAAGGGGAGAAGAGAGCUGUGUAUGUAAAGGUUGCAGGAAAUGUA